AGCGAACGCUGGCGGCAUGCCUAACACAUGCAAGUCGCACGGGGGGGCUUCGGCCUCCCAGUGGCGGACGGGUGAGGAACGCGUAGGGACCUGUCGAGGGGUGGGGGAUAACCGCGGGAAACUGCGGCUAAUACCGCAUGACGCCGCGGCGUGACAGCCGGGGCCAAAGGCGAAAGCCGCCCGCCGAGGGGCCUGCGUCCGAUUAGCUGGGUGGCGGGGUAGCGGCCCACCAAGGCGUCGAUCGGUAGCUGGUCUGAGAGGGUGAUCAGCCACACCGGGACUGAGACACGGCCCGGACUCCUACGGGAGGCAGCAGUGGGUAAUAUUGGACAAUGGGCGCAAGCCUGAUCCAGCAAUGCCGCGUGGGUGAAGAAGGUCUUCGGAUUGUAAAGCCCUCUCGGCGGGGACGAUGGUGACGGUACCCGCAGAAGAAGCCCCGGCUAACUUCGUG
This 451-nucleotide ribosomal RNA is filed under the name uncultured bacterium. RNAcentral describes it as "partial 16S ribosomal RNA". It matches the Rfam family "Bacterial small subunit ribosomal RNA", at positions 28 to 507 of the family's 1533-position model. The record is from RNAcentral.